UACGUAGGGGCCUAGCGUUGUCCGGAAUUAUUGGGCGUAAAGAGCUCGUAGGCGGUUCGGCAAGUCGGAUGUGAAAUCUCCUCGCUCAACGGGGAGCAGCCAUUGGAAACUACAGAACUGGAGUCUGGCAGAGGUAGGCGGAAUUCCGGGUGGAGUGGCGAAAUGCGUAGAGAUCCGGAGGAACACCAGAGGCGAAGGCGGCCUACUGGGCCAGUACUGACGCUGAGCCGCGAAAGCCAGGGGAGCGAACGGG
Molecule: ribosomal RNA, 253 nt
Filed under: uncultured bacterium
Lineage: Bacteria
Description: partial 16S ribosomal RNA
Rfam family: Bacterial small subunit ribosomal RNA
Source: RNAcentral